CGCAAGCCUGAUCCAGCAAUACCGCGUGUGUGAAGAAGGCCUUCGGGUUGUAAAGCACUUUUGUUAGGGAGAACGGGUUUAGUAGCUAAUACCUACUGAAUUUGAUGUUACCUAAAGAAUAAGCACCGGCUAACUCCGUGCCAGCAGCCGCGGUAAUACGGAGGGUGCAAGCGUUAAUCGGAAUUACUGGGCGUAAAGGG
This 200-nucleotide ribosomal RNA is filed under the name uncultured Ignatzschineria sp. RNAcentral describes it as "partial 16S ribosomal RNA". It matches the Rfam family "Bacterial small subunit ribosomal RNA", at positions 376 to 567 of the family's 1533-position model. The record is from RNAcentral. Lineage: Bacteria; Pseudomonadati; Pseudomonadota; Gammaproteobacteria; Cardiobacteriales; Ignatzschineriaceae.